AGUGAACGCUGGCGGUAGGCCUAACACAUGCAAGACGAACGGCAGCACAGGAGAGCUUGCUCUCUGGGUGGCGAGUGGCGGACGGGUGAGGAAUACAUCGGAAUCUACUUUUUCGUGAGGGAUAACGUAGGGAAACUUACGCUAAUACCGCAUACGACCUACGGGUGAAAGCAGGGGAUCUUCGGACCUUGCGCGAAUGAAUGAGCCGAUGUCGGAUUAGCUAGUUGGCGGGGUAAAGGCCCACCAAGGCGACGAUCCGUAGCUGGUCUGGGAGGAUGAUCAGCCACACUGGAACUGAGACACGGUCAAGACUCCUACGGGAGGCAGCAGUGGGGAAUAUUGGACAAUGGGCGCAAGCCUGAUCCAGCCAUACCGCGUGGGUGAAGAAGGCCUUCGGGUUGUAAAGCCCUUUUGUUGGGAAAGAAAUCCAGCUGGUUAAUACCCGGUUGGGAUGACGGUACCCAAAGAAUAAGCACCGGCUAACUUCGUGCCAGCCGCCGCGGUAA
This 506-nucleotide ribosomal RNA is filed under the name uncultured bacterium. Its description in RNAcentral is "partial 16S ribosomal RNA". It matches the Rfam family "Bacterial small subunit ribosomal RNA", at positions 29 to 523 of the family's 1533-position model. The record is from RNAcentral.